This 433-nucleotide ribosomal RNA is filed under the name uncultured bacterium. RNAcentral's name for it is "partial 16S ribosomal RNA". It matches the Rfam family "Bacterial small subunit ribosomal RNA", at positions 29 to 507 of the family's 1533-position model. The record is from RNAcentral.
AACGAACGCUGGCGGCAGGCCUAACACAUGCAAGUCGAGCGAGCAUUUCGGUGCUAGCGGCGGACGGGUGAGUAACGCAUGGGAACGUUCCCUUUUCUGCGGAAUAGUCCUGGGAAACUGGGGGUAAUACCGCAUACGCCCUUUGGGGGAAAGAUUUAUCGGAGAAGGAUCGGCCCGCGUUGGAUUAGGUAGUUGGUGGGGUAAUGGCCCACCAAGCCGACGAUCCAUAGCUGGUUUGAGAGGAUGAUCAGCCACACUGGGACUGAGACACGGCCCAGACUCCUACGGGAGGCAGCAGUGGGGAAUCUUAGACAAUGGGGGCAACCCUGAUCUAGCCAUGCCGCGUGAGUGAUGAAGGCCUUAGGGUUGUAAAGCUCUUUCAGCUGGGAAGAUAAUGACGGUACCAGCAGAAGAAGCCCCGGCUAACUCCGUG